GGGGGAGCUGGAGCUGCUGAAGGAGCAGCUGGGGGCGGCGGGGCCCCCCGAGAGCCUCUCGGACGAGGAGCUGCCGCUCGACCCCCGGCUCUACCAGGAGCUCUGCGCCGGCGCCUUCGAUGAGCACGGGCUGCCGUGGCUCAGUGACCCCGAGGACGCCCCCUUCCUCGACCCCGUCCUGCGCAAGCGCGCCGUCAAGGUCAAGCACGUCAAGCGGCGCGAGAAGAAGUCGGACAAGAAGAAGGAGGAGCGCUACAAGCGGCACCGGCAGAAGCCGCGGCACCGGGAGCGCAGCCGGCACCCCGAGCGCCCGGACGCCCGCGACCCCGCCGGGCUGGGGCAGUGCCUGGGCCCCGGCUGCACCCGCCCCGCGCGGCCGCCCUCCAAGUACUGCAGCGAGGCCUGCGGCGUCAAGCUGGCCGCCAACCGGACCCACAAGAUCCCGCCGCAGCGGAUCCCGCGCUGG
Long non-coding RNA from Oxyura jamaicensis (ruddy duck), 466 nucleotides. RefSeq lists it as uncharacterized. NCBI's taxonomy places the organism in Eukaryota, Metazoa, Chordata, Aves, Anseriformes, Anatidae. The transcript is spliced from 4 exons. The record is from RefSeq and is a predicted model, not a curated record.